AUUAUGUCCACUCUAAUGCCAUGUUAUGUAACAAAGCCGAAUAACAAGGCCUCGCUUGUGGACGAUAUAAAAUUUGGUUCUAUUAUCCUAGCACCUAAUGUAAUUUAAAAAAUUAGUGUGCUCGAGAAACGUAGAACUACAAAC
Musca domestica (house fly) is the source of this 144-nucleotide non-coding RNA. The record is from Rfam. NCBI's taxonomy places the organism in Eukaryota, Metazoa, Arthropoda, Insecta, Diptera, Muscidae.